Molecule: unclassified non-coding RNA, 335 nt
Filed under: soil metagenome
Description: partial contains 5.8S ribosomal RNA, internal transcribed spacer 2, and large subunit ribosomal RNA
Rfam family: 5.8S ribosomal RNA (bases 1-119)
Source: RNAcentral
AUGAAGAACGUAGCGAAAUGCGAUAAGUAAUGUGAAUUGCAGAAUUCAGUGAAUCAUCGAAUCUUUGAACGCAGAUUGCGCGCGCCAGUAUUCUGGCGGGCAUGCCUGUUCGAGCGUCAUUUCAACCAUCAAGCCCCCGGCUUGUGUUGGGGACCUGCGGCUGCCGCAGGCCCUGAAAAGCAGUGGCGGGCUCGCUGUCACACCGAGCGUAGUAGCAUACAUCUCGCUCUGGGCGUGCUGCGGGUUCCGGCCGUUAAACCACCUUCAUAACCCAAGGUUGACCUCGGAUCAGGUAGGAAGACCCGCUGAACUUAAGCAUAUCAAUAAGCGGAGGA